UACGGAGGGUGCAAGCGUUAUCCGGAUUCACUGGGUUUAAAGGGUGCGUAGGUGGGUCUGUAAGUCAGUGGUGAAAUCUCCAAGCUUAACUUGGAAACUGCCAUUGAUACUAUGGGUCUUGAAUAUCCUGGAGGUGAGCGGAAUAUGUCAUGUAGCGGUGAAAUGCUUAGAUAUGACUAGAACACCAAUUGCGAAGGCAGCUCACUACGGGAUUAUUGACACUGAGGCACGAAAAGCGUGGGGAGUCAAACAGGA
This 255-nucleotide ribosomal RNA is filed under the name uncultured bacterium. RNAcentral describes it as "partial 16S ribosomal RNA". It matches the Rfam family "Bacterial small subunit ribosomal RNA", at positions 524 to 777 of the family's 1533-position model. The record is from RNAcentral.